UUUACGGAGAGGGUUUUGAGUAAGCAACACUUGCUGACACUUAUCCUAUUGUUUUUCUACAAUCUUUCCUUUUGUGAAGAUUCUGAAGCAACUACAAUAAAAAUGAAGAUGUUGUUACUACUUAUUGUCUCAUUGGUGCUGACGACCGGGAUAGCUGAAUCGCCGGAAGAAAUUAGGAAUUUGGCCUUUAAACUUUAUGAUUAUCCUGUGGAAUCAGAGGAUCAAUGCACCACUGAAAGAUGCGUCAGUACUUGUACCAAGAUGUUUAACUAUAAAUACGGCAGAUGUUUGGGGGAAAACCUUUGCCACUGCUCUAAUUUUUAAUACAUUUUUAAUCAAAAUCAUUUAGGUAGGUACCUUUCUUACAUUGUAUACUAUCUAUUGAUUAUAAGAAUGACAAAGUAUAAAUUGAAUAAAUAUUAAGUACUUA
This is a long non-coding RNA of Pectinophora gossypiella (pink bollworm), 430 nucleotides long. RefSeq lists it as uncharacterized. NCBI's taxonomy places the organism in Eukaryota, Metazoa, Arthropoda, Insecta, Lepidoptera, Gelechiidae. The transcript has 2 exons. The record is from RefSeq and is a predicted model, not a curated record.